Molecule: ribosomal RNA, 147 nt
Filed under: Symbiodinium kawagutii
Lineage: Eukaryota; Dinophyceae; Suessiales; Symbiodiniaceae
Description: 5.8S ribosomal RNA
Rfam family: 5.8S ribosomal RNA
About the family: 5.8S ribosomal RNA (5.8S rRNA) is a component of the large subunit of the eukaryotic ribosome. It is transcribed by RNA polymerase I as part of the 45S precursor that also contains 18S and 28S rRNA.
Source: RNAcentral
ACAGUUUUCAGCGACGGAUAUCUUGGCUAGCACCUAUGAAGGGCGCAGCGAAGUGCGAUAAUCGUUGUGAAUUGCACACCGUGAACCAAUGGCCUCUUGAACGUGCAUUGCGCUCUUGGGAUGCCUGAGAGCAUGUCUGCUUCAGUG